AUUGAACGCUGGCGGCAUGCCUUACACAUGCAAGUCGAACGGCAGCAUGAUCUAGCUUGCUAGAUUGAUGGCGAGUGGCGAACGGGUGAGUAAUACAUCGGAACGUGCCCUGUAGUGGGGGAUAACUAGUCGGAAGAUUAGCUAAUACCGCAUACGACCUGAGGGUGAAAGUGGGGGACCGCAAGGCCUCAUGCUAUAGGAGCGGCCGAUGUCUGAUUAGCUAGUUGGUGAGGUAAAGGCUCACCAAGGCGACGAUCAGUAGCUGGUCUGAGAGGACGAUCAGCCACACUGGGACUGAGACACGGCCCAGACUCCUACGGGAGGCAGCAGUGGGGAAUUUUGGACAAUGGGCGAAAGCCUGAUCCAGCAAUGCCGCGUGUGUGAAGAAGGCCUUCGGGUUGUAAAGCACUUUUGUCCGGAAAGAAAUGGCUCUGGUUAAUACCUGGGGUCGAUGACGGUACCGGAAGAAUAAGGACCGGCUAACUACGUG
Molecule: ribosomal RNA, 490 nt
Filed under: uncultured bacterium
Lineage: Bacteria
Description: partial 16S ribosomal RNA
Rfam family: Bacterial small subunit ribosomal RNA
Source: RNAcentral